This 357-nucleotide ribosomal RNA is filed under the name Mithraculus denticulatus. RNAcentral's name for it is "partial 12S ribosomal RNA". The record is from RNAcentral. Lineage: Eukaryota; Metazoa; Arthropoda; Malacostraca; Decapoda; Mithracidae.
UACUAUAUUAAAAUUCAAGCAGAAAACUUGAUCAUUGUAAGAUAUAAGCUUUAAAUUCAAAGAAUUUGGCGGUAAUUUAGUCUUUCCAGAGGAACCUGUUUUUUAAUCGAUAAACCACGAAGAAUCUUACUUACCCUUAUAUCGUUUGUAUACCAUCAUUAUCAGAUAAUAUUUAAAGAUAAAUUAUUGAAUAUUUAAACAAAAAUGAAAAUUAGAUCAAGGUGCAGCUUAUGGGUAAGUUAAAAUGGGUUACAAUUAGGUAAACAUAAGAUGGAUUAAGACUUGAAAAGGUUUUAUGAAGGAGGAUUUGGUUGUAAUAGGGAUUAGUAAGAUUAAAUGAUAUAAGCUCUAGAUUAU